RNAcentral lists this ribosomal RNA (496 nucleotides) under uncultured bacterium. RNAcentral's name for it is "bacterial SSU rRNA". It matches the Rfam family "Bacterial small subunit ribosomal RNA", at positions 28 to 507 of the family's 1533-position model. The record is from RNAcentral.
GACGAACGCUGGCGGCGUGCCUAAUACAUGCAAGUCGAGCGAAUCAAUAGGAGCUUGCUCCUGUUGGUUAGCGGCGGACGGGUGAGUAACACGUGGGCAACCUGCCUGUAAGACUGGGAUAACACCGGGAAACCGGUGCUAAUACCGGAUAAUCCUUUUCCUCUCAUGAGGAAAAGCUGAAAGUCGGUUUCGGCUGACACUUACAGAUGGGCCCGCGGCGCAUUAGCUAGUUGGUGAGGUAACGGCUCACCAAGGCGACGAUGCGUAGCCGACCUGAGAGGGUGAUCGGCCACACUGGGACUGAGACACGGCCCAGACUCCUACGGGAGGCAGCAGUAGGGAAUCUUCCACAAUGGACGAAAGUCUGAUGGAGCAACGCCGCGUGAGCGAUGAAGGCCUUCGGGUCGUAAAGCUCUGUUGUUAGGGAAGAACAAGUACCGGAGUAACUGCCGGUACCUUGACGGUACCUAACCAGAAAGCCACGGCUAACUACGUG